AAACUUUCAACAACGGAUCUCUUGGUUCUGGCAUCGAUGAAAAACGCAGCGAAAUGCGAUAAGUAAUGUGAAUUGCAAAAUUCAGUGAAUCAUCCAAUCUUUGAACGCACAUUGCGCCCUCUGGUAUUCCGGAGGGCAUGCCUGUUCGAGCGUCAUU
RNAcentral lists this ribosomal RNA (157 nucleotides) under Diaporthe eucommiae. RNAcentral's name for it is "Phomopsis eucommii 5.8S ribosomal RNA". It matches the Rfam family "5.8S ribosomal RNA". Rfam says of the family: 5.8S ribosomal RNA (5.8S rRNA) is a component of the large subunit of the eukaryotic ribosome. It is transcribed by RNA polymerase I as part of the 45S precursor that also contains 18S and 28S rRNA. Lineage: Eukaryota; Fungi; Ascomycota; Sordariomycetes; Diaporthales; Diaporthaceae. The record is from RNAcentral.